AUUGAACGCUGGCGGCAUGCCUUACACAUGCAAGUCGAACGGCAGCACGGGUGCUUGCACCUGGUGGCGAGUGGCGAACGGGUGAGUAAUACAUCGGAACGUGUCCUGUAGUGGGGGAUAGCCCGGCGAAAGCCGGAUUAAUACCGCAUACGAUCUACGGAUGAAAGCGGGGGACCUUCGGGCCUCGCGCUAUAGGGUUGGCCGAUGGCUGAUUAGCUAGUUGGUGGGGUAAAGGCCUACCAAGGCGACGAUCAGUAGCUGGUCUGAGAGGACGACCAGCCACACUGGGACUGAGACACGGCCCAGACUCCUACGGGAGGCAGCAGUGGGGAAUUUUGGACAAUGGGCGAAAGCCUGAUCCAGCAAUGCCGCGUGUGUGAAGAAGGCCUUCGGGUUGUAAAGCACUUUUGUCCGGAAGGAAAUCCUUGGUUCUAAUAUAGCCGGGGGAUGACGGUACCGGAAGAAUAAGCACCGGCUAACUACGUGCCAGCAGCCGCGGUAAUACGUAGGGUGCGAGCGUUAAUCGGAAUUACUGGGCGUAAAGCGUGCGCAGGCGGUUUGCUAAGACCGAUGUGAAAUCCCCGGGCUCAACCUGGGAACUGCAUUGGUGACUGGCAGGCUAGAGUAUGGCAGAGGGGGGUAGAAUUCCACGUGUAGCAGUGAAAUGCGUAGAGAUGUGGAGGAAUACCGAUGGCGAAGGCAGCC
This 705-nucleotide ribosomal RNA is filed under the name uncultured beta proteobacterium. RNAcentral describes it as "bacterial SSU rRNA". It matches the Rfam family "Bacterial small subunit ribosomal RNA", at positions 28 to 726 of the family's 1533-position model. The record is from RNAcentral. Lineage: Bacteria; Pseudomonadati; Pseudomonadota; Betaproteobacteria.